AUGUUGUCGUCGUCUCCGCCGUGCUACGCGCCCGUGCCCUGGGAUGACCUGCCAAUGCAACACGCGGAUGCCCCCGUGUCCACCGUCGCCGCCACGGCCGUCGGCGCCGGGGAGCACAUCCUCAGGGUCGAGGGCUACUCGCGGCUCAAGACCAUGCACGGCAGCGACGGCGGCUACCUGGAGUCCGCCGUGUUCAUGGCGGCGGGCCACGCCUGGCGGGUCUGCUGCUACCUCAACGGGGCGCGCCCGCAGGACGCCGGCUUCGUUUCGGUGUUUCUCAGGCGCGACGACGACGAUGCUGACGCCGAUGCCGACGAGAACGUCGUCCACGCCGAGUACGAGUUCGCUCUAGUGCACCACCAAGGGACGCUGGUAAAGUGGCCGUCACACUGCGAACGCGGGACCGCCUCUGCCUUCGACAAGGGCAACUCCUGGGGCUGCCCGCGGUUCAUCAGCAAGGAGGACCUGAAGCGUUCCAGGUUCCUCAAGGGUGACUGCUUGGCCGUCCGGUGCAAGGUCACCGUCGUCCAGGUCUAG
Molecule: ribosomal RNA, 537 nt
Filed under: Triticum aestivum (bread wheat)
Lineage: Eukaryota; Viridiplantae; Streptophyta; Magnoliopsida; Poales; Poaceae
Description: partial small subunit ribosomal RNA
Source: RNAcentral